AUUUUGGGCUCUCAUUCUUGUUUGCUCCAUCUUUCCAAUAGCCAUUACCAAUGCACAAACACCAGCAGCCUCACCUUCUAAUUUACCAACCACUACACCUCCCCCAACAACCGCAGCAGCACCUCCACCAACCACCACAGCACCUCCACCCACAACCACACCUCCACCUACAACCACAGCACCUCCACCUAUGACCACCCCUCCACCUUCAACAACACCUACAGCACCAACACAGCCACCAGUAAGUGCGGCAACACCUCCGCCUGCAACAACUCCUGUAUCAUCUCCUAAAGUUGCACCGGCUACAAGCCCAUCAGUUCCACCACCAC
This 329-nucleotide long non-coding RNA is filed under the name Citrus sinensis (sweet orange). Its description in RNAcentral is "long non-coding RNA (CSIN_LNC002909)". Lineage: Eukaryota; Viridiplantae; Streptophyta; Magnoliopsida; Sapindales; Rutaceae. The record is from RNAcentral.